CAAUAGCGUAUAUUAAAGUUGUUGCAGUUAAAAAGCUCGUAGUUGGAUUUGUGGCGUACGGUGGGUUCCGGGCACUUGUUGUCUGAGUAACUUGCUGUUGCCAUCCUUGGGUGGAACCUGUGUGGCAUUAGGUUGUCGUGCAGGGGAUGCCCAUCAUUUACUGUGAAAAAAUUAGAGUGUUCAAAGCAGGCUUAUGCCGUUGAAUAUAUUAGCAUGGAAUAAUGAGAUAGGACUUUUUUGCUAUUUUGUUGGUUUGCGCAAAGAGGUAAUGAUUAAUAGGGACAGUUGGGGGUAUUCGUAUUCCAUUGUCAGAGGUGAAAUUCUUGGAUUUUUGGAAGACGAACUACUGCGAAAGCAUUUACCAAGGAUGUUUNCAUUA
This 379-nucleotide ribosomal RNA is filed under the name uncultured eukaryote. Its description in RNAcentral is "partial 18S ribosomal RNA". It matches the Rfam family "Eukaryotic small subunit ribosomal RNA", at positions 592 to 975 of the family's 1831-position model. The record is from RNAcentral.